This is a long non-coding RNA of Halichondria panicea, 739 nucleotides long. RefSeq lists it as uncharacterized. The record is from RefSeq and is a predicted model, not a curated record. The transcript has 2 exons. NCBI's taxonomy places the organism in Eukaryota, Metazoa, Porifera, Demospongiae, Suberitida, Halichondriidae.
ACCCUUUCCCCGUUGAAGCCGUCAUAUGACGGCCACUCUAGUGGUCAUUUUCAAAAAUUCGUUGUGCCCACUGUGUUGGAGCUAUGCACACGCUGUAGGUACCAGCACAUGCGCAUUGAGCUGCUCUUUCACAUGGUAUCUUUAAUAUGCUGCCUCGAGGUACGCUUUGUACAGUAAUGUCGAAAGAAAAGUGACCGUUUGAUAAUGUUUCAAGAUCUUUGUAGUACAAUCUCAGUGAGGUUCUAAAGUAGCUAGACAGUGAGAAUAUCGAUGCUUAUGGCCUUGUUGAGUGAGAGGACUGUGACUGGGAUAGUAGCUAGAUAAAAAGCUACCUCAAGCUAGAAAAUAUAGAGCCUGGAAGGCCUGAGGAAGAAGCUCUUGCGAUGGAACAACUUCUUGGAUCUGGUGAAGAAAACAUUUCCCGGGAAAAGGGCGUCUGCUGAUACGACCUCGCAGAAAACUUUCUGCAGAUCCUGAUUGAACCAUGUCACCGUGAGAACAUUGAGAACACUUAUUUAGUGUCUUUAGCCACUCUGUGCCUUCAUACAAUAUUAUUUGUGUACAUAGUUGUGAAUGUUUGUAAACAAUUGCUAAUUAGUGGGGGUGGUCAGUUGCUAGGUAACGAAGAUGUUGUCAAGAUAUCUCUGAGGUCUGCGCUACCUGUAGGAAAUAGUUACAAGUCAUUUCAAUGUAUGGUUCAUGACAUACAAAUUUUUAAAGAAAAUUGUUAUUUAUUCUG